RNAcentral lists this ribosomal RNA (494 nucleotides) under uncultured bacterium. RNAcentral's name for it is "bacterial SSU rRNA". It matches the Rfam family "Bacterial small subunit ribosomal RNA", at positions 28 to 511 of the family's 1533-position model. The record is from RNAcentral.
GAUGAACGCUAGCUACAGGCUUAACACAUGCAAGUCGAGGGGCAGCAUGAACAUAGCUUGCUAUGUUUGAUGGCGACCGGCGCACGGGUGCGUAACACGUAUCCAAUCUGCCCGUUACUCGGGGAUAGCCUUCUGAAAGGAAGAUUAAUACCCGAUGGCAUGUAUUUCCGGCAUCGGAGAUACAUUAAAGAUUUAUCGGUAACGGAUGAGGAUGCGUACGAUUAGCUGGUUGGCGGGGUAACGGCCCACCAAGGCGACGAUCGUUAGGGGUUCUGAGAGGAAGGUCCCCCACACUGGAACUGAGACACGGUCCAGACUCCUACGGGAGGCAGCAGUGAGGAAUAUUGGUCAAUGGUCGAGAGACUGAACCAGCCAAGUAGCGUGAAGGAUGACUGCCCUACGGGUUGUAAACUUCUUUUGUUUGGGAAUAAAUGAUACUACGUGUAGUAUUUUGCAUGUACCUUACGAAUAAGCAUCGGCUAAUUCCGUGCCAG